UUUUUUCAACUUUGACC
RNAcentral lists this ribosomal RNA (17 nucleotides) under Alternaria alternata. RNAcentral describes it as "partial 28S ribosomal RNA". The record is from RNAcentral. Lineage: Eukaryota; Fungi; Ascomycota; Dothideomycetes; Pleosporales; Pleosporaceae.